Molecule: ribosomal RNA, 446 nt
Filed under: Physarum stellatum
Lineage: Eukaryota; Evosea; Eumycetozoa; Physariida; Physaraceae
Description: SSU rRNA
Rfam family: Eukaryotic small subunit ribosomal RNA
Source: RNAcentral
UCUCUCUGAAUCUGCGAACGGCUCCGCAUACCAGUUGUAAACUAUAGCGAGGAAGCCUUGGACUGCGGUCAUUCUCCACCCCUUUAGUGGGAUGGGGGUGAUCGUAGAAUCAAGGCUUCACAUGGAUAACCAUGGUAAUUCUGAGGCUAAUACAAGAACGUUAAAAACUUGAUUUAACCGGCUUCUAAACCGGGAAAAUUGGGGGUUGUGUGGCUUAACUGCAACACUUCAUAACGAAUCAAUGCACAAUUUGACCACCACACAAACCGGCUCAGGUUUUUCUUUUCGCAAGUACCCUAGGGGAAAGCUUAAAAAACGCCUUUUGCUGGGUGGUUCUCGCUUUGUGCUUCUGACCUAUCAACUAGAUUGCAGCGUAAGGGACAUGCUAUGGUUACAACGGGUACAGAGGAUAAGGGUUCGAUCCUGGAGAGUGGGCCUGAGAGAUU